CGGUGUCAUCACGUUGCGCACGCAGUGGCAUACGUUUCCUUGUAACUGGCUAUAUAAUACAAUGUUCGCCGAGUUGGAAGAAGUAAGAAUAUUUGACAUCCAAAGUUGAAACUGUAAAAACUCAUAAGUCUCAAAAUGAUGAUGAAAAUUGUGAUAUCUGUUGCUGUAGUGUUUGCCUGUAUGUUUGCUCUGGGAGACGCCCAUUGCCACAAGUGCGGAGGAGGUUGUGGUAGCAGUUCCAAGAAAAUCGUCGAGGUGGACGACCACGCCUUUUUCCAGACGCUGCUCGCACUCACUGCUGCCGCCGGUGGCGGCGGCGGUGGAGGAGGAUUUGGGGGUCCAGGAUUCGGAAAAAAAUAGAGCAAUGACGUAAUGUCUGCUCAAAAAUGGUGAAUUCGACAACUAUGGACCUCCGAAGAUACACACCAUGAACACACAGGUGUCGAAGAUUAUCGUUAGCAUUGUUAUUGUAAUCAGGUUUCCAGCAUGUUAUAUUAACACAUAAAUACUGUGUUGAUUUCA
Long non-coding RNA from Gigantopelta aegis, 522 nucleotides. RefSeq lists it as uncharacterized. NCBI's taxonomy places the organism in Eukaryota, Metazoa, Mollusca, Gastropoda, Neomphalida, Peltospiridae. The transcript has 3 exons. The record is from RefSeq and is a predicted model, not a curated record.